AUUGCGAAUCUUCAGCACAGAAAUCUUGUGAAACUACUUGGCUGUUGCAUUCAUCUGGACGAGAGACUCUUGAUAUAUGAAUUCAUGAUAAACAGAAGCUUGGACUACUUCAUUUUUGGUUUGAAAUUUUAUCCUAUAUAUUACUUGUUUUGAUUUUCUGUACCAACAAGCUGUCUUUUUAUGACUAAGCUGAAAUUUUUUGAUCAGAUCAAACUAGAAGAAGUUCAUUGCAUUGGACUCGAAGAUUUCAAAUUAUUCGUGGGAUCGCUCGAGGACUUCUUUAUCUUCAUGAAGAUUCUAGAUUAAGGAUUAUCCACAGAGAUCUCAAGACCAGCAAUAUUCUUCUAGACAAAAAUAUGAAUCCUAAAAUAUCAGACUUCGGUCUUGCUAGAACAUUAUGGGGAGAUGAAGCUGAAGUCGAAACAAUUAGAGUAGUAGGAACUCAGUAAGCAUGCUUAAACUACUUGAAUUUUUUGCUUUAUGAAACAUAAAUAUUCUGCUGCUCCUUUUCCUAAGCCCGGUAUCUUUUCUUUCUUUAUUAUUUUUUUCAGUGGUUACAUAUCUCCAGAGUAUGCAGCACGUGGAUUUUUCUCCGUGAAAUCAGAUGUCUUUAGUUUCGGUGUUAUUAUACUAGAGACAAUAACUGGAAAAAAGAACAGGGAAUAUAGUGACCAUCAUGAUCUUGACCUUCUUGGAUAUGUAAGUAUAAUGAUUCAGUCCAAUAAAACAACAUAUGUUUUGGUACAUUGAAAACAGUGUUUCCAAUCGAAGAUUACACAAAAUAGACGUUUGUUCAAAUUUUGCUACGUUGCAAAGCAAUAGCGCUGCUAUAACUGCUAUUUAACAAUACUUUGUACUGAAUCACAUAUCACGAAAAAAUAUUAUUUAUCAACAAUGAUUGAAAAGUAAACUCAAAACUCACAAUCUUAAUUUUCAUGUCCUCUAGGCAUGGAGAAUGUGGUGUGACUCAACGCCGUUGAUGCUGAUAGAUGAAUCUCUAAGCGAUUCGAUUGCUGUAGCCGAACCUGAAAUAUUGAGAUGUAUUCAGAUAGGGCUUUUAUGUGUGCAAGAGAGACCUGAUGACAGACCAGACAUGUCAGCAGCAGUUCUAAUGCUGAAUGGUGAAAAAGCAUUGCCUAAGCCAAAGGAACCAGCCUUCUUUCCACACCAAUUCGGCUCGUCAUCAGGAACUACUAAGUUGUAUUCAAACAAUGAAGUUUCCAUAACAAUGUUAGAAGCAAGAUAGUUUAAAUGAAACCAAAGGCCAAUUCUCUUGUCAAUAUAAUGUUGGCUUUUUUGUAGAAGUACUUAACCACAAAAGAAACUUCUGGUAAAAGUUUUUUUUUUUUUUUUUUUUUUGUAUUUGUACAUCAUUAUUGUUGUCUUUGUACCUGUGUUUAGGUUUAAUCCAUUGAGAGUGAUAAUAGAAUGAUCAGAGGCUUAAAAGAAUGAUCUAUCUAACGCAUAUCAGUUUGGAAUAUCUUUUCUCACCCCCUCAAUUUUCUUAAACACUUCUAUAUUUUGCAAUAAAAAAUAAACCUUCCUUGUGCUAUAAACUGAAUCUUUGAAGACAUGAAAACAUUACAUGGGGAAAAAACACAUUACGAGGAACUUAACUGGGAAUUUGGUGAAACCAAUGAAAAAUAUGGCUCCUGAAUCCUUUCUUCUGAGGAAUUACGUUCACGAGGUUUCUCUAUACAUCGAUGAAGCUCAUAUUGUGGGGACGAAAAAAAAAUUCAGUUUCAAAGCUAGUGUAUAUGCAAAAUAAAUAAAAACUAUCAUCAUAAAAUAAUAUAUAGAUUUUUAUUUAUCUUCUCUUUAUCAAAAAAAUAAAGGUUAUAUUUAAUUUGUUUUGAGCUUGGAGCCUACUUGAACAAGGGGCCAUGUGACUAGGUCGGUCGUGGUCGUAAAUGUGUGUUUCGAUUGAUGGUUUAUGAGGGGAAAGGAAGUAAGAGUUUACUUCUCUUUUUUAAAUUUCAGAAUAUAUAAUACUACUAUGUUUUUUUAAAAAUUAAGUGUGAUUGAAGUGUUAUAUGAUUGUUUAUCAUGUUAAUAUGUUAACUUUUUAAAAAAUAUUUCAUAGUGUUUGUAAUUUAAAAAUGAAAAGUAAUCUCUUCCCUCCCCUCCCAUUCUAAACCCUUCAUCCAAACACACCCGUUUGGUUCGGGGUUUUGAUGGGGAGGGGAGGGAAGGGAAUAUUUUAAAUUUGUUGUGUUUGGUUCAAUUUUUAGAAUGGGAGGGGAGGGAGAGGAAGGGGAGCAAAAUCCCUCAAAAACUCAUUUAUUUUGGAGGGGAGGGGAGGGAAAGAUAAAUGAGUUAAUGCAAUUUUAAUUACGUUGACAUAAUUAUCCUCAUAUUUAUUUUUAAAUAACAAAAUCGUCCUUAUUAAAAAUUUAAGUGUUUUCAAUAUAUUGCUUAUUACCCUUUUUUCUUAUCGUGCCUAUCUCAUCAUUUUCUUCUUCGUUUUUUAAGUAGAACCACAUAUUCUUCUCUUCUAAUAUUUUUUUGACGAGAAAUUUUUUUGUACUAACGUUGUUCUCAUUUUUUUUAUUUAAUAUUUUUUUAAUAGUAUUAUAUAUUAAAACUUUAUCAACAAAUUUUGUGCUGGAUUUUUUAUAAAUAUAUUUUAUAAAUCAGUUCUAACAAUAAUUUUUUUAUAAAUAUUUUUAUAUUUUCCUACAUUAUUUUAUAAGUCAGUGCUCUAAUAUUUAUGAAUACCCAAUAUCUUGUCAGAAGUUUUGUGUAUGAUUAUUUAUGGAGUUUUCGGUUACUGAAUUUUUAUGUUUAAUUUUUUAUGAAGUGAAUAAUUUAAAAAUUGUGAUACUAUUUUAAUAUUAUAGGGAUAAAAAAGUAAUUUAGUUUUAAAAUCCCUCCCCUCCCCUCGUGAACCAAACAUAUAUUUGAUUAAAAUCCCUCCCCUCCCCUCCCCUUCCAUCAUUUGAACCAAACAUAUAUUUAAUUGAAAUAUCUCCCUUUCCCUCCCCUCCAUUAAAACUCCUCCCCUCCCCUCCCCUUCCCUUCGUUGAACCAAACAGAAGAGUCUAUCACAGCGUAGAUGAUAGUAGUCGGUCGUACCAAUCUAAAGUUCACCAAAAGUCAAGUGGUUAAAGCUGUUAGGAUAAAUAUAUUUUUGGCCUUAGAGAUACAUGUUAGUGUUUGCAUAAUUUUAAAGAGUUUUUCUAUGUGCAAAUUUGCACAUGCUGAGAAAUUUAAAAUUUUUUUAGGGAUACUUUUAAUUGUUUUUAACAUGUGCCGUAGCGAAAGGAACUUUAUCUUUUCAUUAUAUGUGCUGAAGGAUUGUCCGCUUUAUUAAAAAGAGCUGAAGCGAAAGGAGAGAUACAUGGCAUUAAGGUGUGUCGAGGAGCUCCGCUUCUCACACACCUAUUAUUUGCUGAUGAUUGUUUUUUGUUUUGCAGGGCUACCAUGCGAGAAAGUACAAAAAUAAAGGAGAUUUACAGACUUAUGAAGCAGUUUCGGGCCAAGCGAUUAAUUUCCAAAAAUCAGAAAUUUUCUUCAGCAAAAACACAUCAGAAGCAGUCCAAAAUUUGUAUCAGGUUACAAAUACAAUGGGAAGUGGAAAGUAUCUUGGAAUGCCAUCACUGAUUGGCCGAAGUAAAAGGGCGAUGUUUGGAUAUUUGAGGGAUCGAGUGUGGAGGAAGAUUCAACAGUGGUCAGGGAAGCAUCUUUCGAAAGCGGGACGUGAAGUUCUCAUCAAGUCAGUAGCUCAAGCAAUACCAACAUAUUGUAUAAGUACUUUCUUAUUACCAACGUCCUCAAGGUGAAAGAGAUCCAAAAGAUGAUUAAUUCCUUUUGGUGGGGUUCGAAUAGAAGGCAAGGUAGAGGGAUCAAUUGGCUCCGAUGGGAUAAAUUAACAAUGAGGAAGGAGUAUGGUGGUAUGGGGUUUAGACACUUUUUUUGCUUUAAUUUGGCUAUGCUAGGGAAGCAGGGUUGGAAGCUUUUAACUAACCAAGAUACAAUUGUUUCUCGCAUUUACAAAGCUAAAUAUUUUCUGAAGACUGAUUUUUUGGGGGCCCGUCUAGGUCAUAACCCAAGUUAUAUUUGGCGUAGUAUCUUUGCUUCACAGGUAAUAGUUAGAGGAGGUCAAAGAUGGCGAAUUGGAAAUGGUAAGAGUAUUGCGGUGUGGACAGAUCCGUGGCUAAGGGAAGAUGAGAAGGUUGCAGAUUUGAUGAGUGGAGAAAGCUGGAAUUGGGGGAUGAUAGCAGGGAUUUUUAAUGAUCAUGAUAGGAAAGCGAUAUCUAAUUUAGCAUUACUAAACCGGGAUGGGGAAGAUAGGAUCAUUUGGAAGUUUAAUCGUUAUGGAAAUUAUACGGUAAGGUCGGCAUAUAGAUAUGCAAUGGAAACACUUGUGGAUAAUGUUGAAUACCGAGUUUCGGGAGAAUGGUUAAAAAUGUGGAGUUUAAAGAUUCCUCAAAGGAUAAAAGUUUUCCUUUGGAGAGCUGUGAGGGGUGCUUUGCCUACGCGUAUGCGGUUGCAAGAUAAAGUUGUUCCGUGUACGGAUUGCUGUCCUUUUUGUGAAACAAAUUACGAGAACAAUUGGCAUGUUUUCAUGGGUGUGAAGAAGUGAAAACUGUUUGGCGGACAGCAGGCCUAUGGGAUUUAAUUGUUGAGACAGUUGCUGAUGUCGCGAGUUUAGUAGACUGUUUUUUCUCAUUAUUAUGCAGGUUAACAGCUGAUAAGUGCAAAGACAUGGCAAUGAUACUUUGGUGCAUACGGCGUCGCCGUAAUGACAAAGUAUGGGACGGUGAUCUGAAGCUAGUUUCGAUCGCAAUUCAGUUAGCACGUGAGGCGCUAUUCCAAUGGCAGAUUGCGAGAUAGACCACUGCAGCACCACAUCAGACAGAACAGCAACAAACAAUACAGUGGCAGCCACCAGCACAAGGUGUUCUAAAAUGCAACGUCAACGUGGCCAUUUUCAAUGAGCAGAAGAGUUUUGGUACAUGUAUUUGUAUUAGAGAUCAUCGUGGCCAAAUUAUAAAGGCUGCUACAAAUUGGUACAAAGGAAAUCCUCUUCCUCAAGAAGCUGAAGCGGUGGGUUUACGUGAUGUUAUUUUGUGGCUUGGACAGUUGGGAUUAUUGGAUGUGCACAUUGAACUAGAUUGUAAGCUAGUGGUUGAUAGCAUAUGUGAUAAGAAUAAUAACCAAACCGAAUUUGGCAAUAUCAUAGCUGAUUGUAUGUCACUUUUACAACAAUUCACAAACUUUAAGAUAAAUUUUGUUAGGAGACAAGCGAAUGUUGUCGCUUAUAGCUUAGCAAGAGUGUCAAUAUUACAUGUUCCUCACCAUGUCUUUGAUUUGAUUCCAUCUUAUAUUACAAACCUUGCGAUGAAUGAAAUAAUAUGAGUUUAUGGUUGUCAAAAAACAUGUGCAAUAUUGCACAUGUUAGAGAAAUCCAAAUUUAAAUACUAACCAAAACCUUCAAAAGUUGAUGUUAUAAUUGAAUAUCUUCCUCGGUUUCGCAAAGAAUAUCAUUUUUGCUCAUGCCGCACGUAUUAAUUAAUCAAUAAAUGAUUAUAAAUAGAAUAAAUAUUAACUUUAACUAUUUAAACUUAUUAACUACUCCCUCCGUCCCAAAUUGUAUGUCAUUUAGAAAAAAAUAUUUGUUCCAAAUUGUAUGUCACUUUACAAUACCAAUGAAACAUUAAUGUUAUUUUUCCUAUUAUAACCUUAACUAUUUAUUACUCUCUCUUCUUUCAAGUCUUUUAUUUAUCUUUUCCAUAGGACAAUUUUGUAAAACAACUCAUAAUAUCUCUUUUCCACACAAUAUUAAUUACAUUUCUUAAUAUGUGUGAAAUGCCCAAAACACCAUACAAUUUAGGACGGAGGAAGUAUUUUUUUUUUAAAGAAAACUUAUUAACUAUUUGUAUGUUUCUAACUAUCAUUCAGGCAAAAUGUAACAUAACAUUUUUGAGAUCGUAAUGUAUAUAGUAUUGAUUAAGUAGAUAAUAAAGUUAAAAAAGAACGUAAGUUAUACUUACAUUACAAACUGAAAGUUGCAUUUCUUUUGAGACGAUUUUCUUUUCCUAAAAUAACAUCUAUCGCAAUCAAAUAAUUGUGCUUAAUUGGUUAAUGAGCUCUAAUAAAAGAAAACAAGGAGUUUGAUAUUUGGUGGAACAAUUCUUAACUAGAUUUUGCUUACCUCUUGUUGAACUAUGAAUUACAUGGUCCUUUUCUUGAGAAAAGAAGGGUGUUUUUAGGCAUGGCAACGGUGACAGAUCAAGAAAUUUUGAUAAGUAGAGACAAAAUUAUAUCAUAAAAAUUUAUAUCAAACUAUAUAAAUGCAUAAGCGUGCAAAAAUUAUUAAGUUAUGUUUAUAAUUGCUUUAAAAUGUUGAUUUUUUAAAAUAUUUUUCCACUUCUAGUAGAGUAUAAAAAAUAGAAUUUUUCUAUCGUGUGCAAAUUUGCACAUGUUAAGAAAUUUAAAAUAGUAAUUUUUCAUUGGAACUUGAACAUUUUUUAUUAAAAAUAUAUAACUUUUUAUAAAAUAAUUGUUGGUUUUCAAUAAAAACUUACUAUUUUUAGUUGCUUUAACAUGUGCAGUAUUAUACAUGUUAGACAAACCCUAAAAAAUAUAACCCUAAUUAACUAUAUUUUAAACCACCAACGACAAUCAUAAAGCCUUUUUCAACAAAUAUAAGAAUAGUUUAGAACAUAAUAGUAGUUUUAGGGUCUUGCUAACGAUAUGUUUUAAGAGAAUUGGUUAAAUUUCCUAAAAAAAAAUUAAUAUCAUAAAAAUAAGCAGUAUAUUUAUUGAUAUAAUAAUUUUAACAACUUUUUAUAAAAAAAAAUGACUUCUUUUGAUUUCUUAACUAGUGCUCUUAAAACACUCGUUAAGAUCCUUUUUAGUUUUGUAAUUUUUUAGUGUUAUGGAUGGACCAUAUGAUAAUACUAUAUAAGUGAGGUCAAACGACAUAAAUAUCUAAUUUUAUAUUAAAAAUACAAUAAGCAAGUGGAGGCAAGUGGGGUCGGUUGACCCCAUUGCCCCCACACUGCAUCCGUCCCUGCAUGGCAACAAACCCAUACAUGCGGGUACUCACUCAAACUAAACCCAAUUUGACGGUUUUUUCCGCUUUGAUUGGGUUUUUGUAUGAGUUUGAGUUUUUCUCAAUUUCAAAACACGGGUACGGGACAUGUAUCGGUUAUAUUGGCACCCACUUCGAACUCAUACUCAAACCCGUCCUAGAUGUAGAAAGUCAAUUUAUUGCCCUGUUUAUAUAAAUAGAAACUCAACUCUAAAUCAUUUCACUAACACAGUCAGAGUCUCAGUCUUUCACAUGACACUCACUUAUCAUAGUUCGCUCUUUUCUCCUUCGAUAUCUCACACUUUCGGCCUCUCUCUUCUUAAUCACCAUAGUCAUAGAUCAUCAUCAUCUCUUUGCUGGAUAAUGCAUUACAACAUUGCGUUCAAGACUGAAAAAUACUUUUAUUAUUAUUUAAAAAAAAAAAAUCCAAUGCGGAGAUAGGGAUGGGUCGGGGAUACCCGAAUGCAUUAGGGAUGAGGACGAGAUUCAUUUUCUCAUCCUGGUUGGGAAUGAGUAGGAUAACUAGUAGGUAUAUAGGAGUAUCAUACGAGAACGAGGAAGGUAAAACUCGCCCCCACCCUGUCCCAUUGUCAUGCCUAGUUAUUUUUCUUUUGGACAUCAUUCCGACAAGGCGACAAUCUGUACAUUCCCUCCUCUUUUGGGACAUCUUUGCCAUUUAAAAAAAUAAUAAUAAUAUUUGUACAAUUAUUUUUUGACAAUUUUCUCUCUCAUAUUCACAUUAUGUUUUUACUUUUUCUUUCUAUUGCUAUAGUUUUUGUGUCAAUACUUCAUUGUCUUUAUAAAUAAUGGUUGUCCAAAAGUUAUCAUUGAAAUGAUUGUUCAAAUAACACAACUAAAAAUAUCUUAUUUUUCAACAGUAACCAAAAUUAACUUCUAGCCACCGCCUAUCAAGCCAAGUUGUACUUCGGUGGGGAUAUUAUGGAUUGGAUGGGGAACCAAACUUUGAUGCAAUAAUGUUUUAUUUAGUCAACUCAAUAAUAUUUUAAAUGUUUUUUAUUUUUAAAAAAUAAAAAUUCAUCGUUUUGAUUAUUUUUAUCUGUCAAAGACGAUCCAACGUUGAAUUGAAAAUAUGUCUAGAUAUUUCCUAACCGACUUGAUAGGUGAAAUCAAAUACAUGAAAAAUUAUCUUGAGAUAUGAAAAUUUAAUUAAAUUAAACAUAUCUAAUACAAAUUAAUCACAAUGUCACAACAUUUCCUAAUGAGUGUGAAAAUUGUUACUACUAUUACAUAUGGAUAGCGGAAGUAUUAAUUAAGCUUGGUGGCUAGAAGUUCAUGUUGUAUUAUAUUGACCAACAGUUUGAAACUUUAUUUGACUUCUAAUUUAGAUACAUUAAUUUGCUUUGAUCCUCUAACCAAAUCACGUACUCUAUGAACUAUCAUAGUUCAACUAUAAUCCAAACUUUUGAAGAUUUUGGCUUACAUUUUAUAUUUAAAACAAAAAACAUAAACUUUUUGAGUUUUUAGACCAAUUCCUUAACAAAAAGACAAUAUAUGGACAGUAUCAAAGUACUAGUUUAUUGCUUUCUUCUCUUCCAUUUCAUACCAACUUUCAAUGCCUUGGAAACCAUUGUUUCAGGACAAUCAAUCAAAGACAAUGAGACACUAAUCUCAAAAGAUGGAACUUUUGAAGCUGGUUUCUUCAACUUUGGAAAUUCAAAUAACCAAUAUUUUGGUGUAUGGUACAAGAAUAUUUCACCAAAGACUCUUGUUUGGAUAGCAAACCGAGAUGUUCCACUAGGAAACUCAUCAGGAGUUUUGAAUCUCACAGAUAAAGGAACUCUUGUUAUUGUUGAUUCCAAAGAGGUUACGAUAUGGUCAUCUAAUACAUCAACGACGACAUCAAAACCAAGUUUGCAGCUCUUGGAAAGUGGAAAUCUUAUUGUAAAAGAUGAAAUCGACCCGGAUAAAAUUUUGUGGCAAAGUUUUGAUCUUCCUGGUGACACUUUGCUCCCAGGUAUGAGUAUUAGAACAAACUUAGUAAAUGGUGAUUAUAAAGGUUUGGUAUCUUGGAGGGAUACACAAGAUCCUGCUACUGGUUUGUAUUCAUAUCAUAUAGAUACUAAUGGUUAUCCUCAAGUAGUGAUUACAAAAGGAGAUACAUUAUUCUUUAGAAUAGGUUCAUGGAAUGGAAGAAUUUUAUCAGGAAUUCCUUCUGAGACACUUUACAAAGCCUAUAACUUUUCAUUUGUGAUUACUGAGAAGGAAAUUUCUUAUGGAUAUGAACUUUUGAACAAGUCUGUUGUUUCAAGAUACUUGGUAUCUUCAACUGGUCAAAUAGCGCGAUACAUGUUGUCGGAUCAGACAAAUAGUUGGCAACUUUUCUUUGUCGGACCUGCAGACAGUUGUGAUAAUUAUGCUAUCUGUGGUGCAAAUUCUAACUGUGAUAUUGAUAAGUCACCAGUAUGUGAAUGUCUUGAAGGUUUCGUUCCAAAGUCUCAAGCAAACUGGAGUUUACAAAAUUGGUCGGAUGGUUGUGUUAGGAAAGUGAAGUUAGAUUGUGACAACAAUGAUGGCUUUUUGAAGCAUAUGAGAAUGAAGUUGCCAGACACAUCAAAAUCUUGGUUUAAUAAGAGCAUGAACCUCGAAGAAUGUGAGCGAUUCUGUAUCAGAAACUGUUCUUGUACAGCAUAUGCAAAUUUAGAUGUCAGAGAUGGUGGAAGUGGCUGCUUGCUUUGGUUUAAUAACAUUUUGGAUGUCAGAAAAUUACCCUCUGGAGGGCAAGACCUUUACAUAAGAGUUGCAGAUUCAGCUUCAGCUUCAGAACUAGGUAGUAAUACUUUAUUUUCAUCUGUUAGAUAGAUAUUUAUAUUGAAUCAAACUCAACCUUACAAAAUUAGUAUGUAAGUUGAAAUGUACCACUUUUUAUAAGUUUUUUUUUCCCAAACUAUAUAUCUUUUCCAGUGUGGGGUUUAAGUGUUAAUGGAAUUCAAGUGUGAGUGGUUAAUCCCACAUCGGCUAGGAAUGGAGGAAAUGGUGGAUAUAUAAGAUAGGUGACUUAUAUACCUAACUCCUUAAGGUUUUGGAAUGAGAUGUGGUGUCAAUGUCUCUUAGAAGUCGUGGACGUUUCUUGAAAAGGUGGCCAUGGCGUGGUGAAUUUAUAUAGUCACCAUAUGAAAUUUACGAAGGGAUGCCCGAUAUUGCAGUGCCAUAGGCUGCAAUAGUGUGUUUAUAUGGCGAACUUUUGGCAUUCCUCCAUAUGUUGUCGACAACAUUGAUCGAUAGACUCUAAUUCAGCUUGUAAGGGAUGUCACUCUUUAUAUGCAUUCCUAAGCUGCACAUAGUUUUUCAUUGCAGACAGUUUGGGGAUGCAUGUAAUAAAUUAAUCCUUGUUCUCGACUUUCAUUGUGUAGUCCUUCAGAUGCCUUAACUUUUUGUAUUUCUGAACUGCUACAGAUUUUGGUGUGUUGAUUGACAGUACUUUUAACCUAUCAGACCAUAAUACAGGCUUGAACAAGAAGAAGCUUGCAGGAAUUCUAGUGGGCUGUAUUGUGUUUAUUGCGAUCAUACUGAUAAUAUUGGUAGUGUCCAUACAUCGUGUUCGGAGGAAGAAACUAGACAAGCCAGGUUAUCUUUUAGUUAUUUGAAACUGAUUCAACAAUUGUAACUACGCAGUCUGAUAGAAUUUUAUAGUUUUGUAAUGCAUUAUCAAAUAUUCUUCUGUAUAUUCUUCCAGGGAAGAAUUACGAUUUUAACUUGAAGAAUCACACCGACAACAAAGAGAAUGAAGAAAUUGACAUACCAAUAUUUGAUUUAUCAAUCAUAGCUAAUUCAACCAAUAACUUCUCUGUUGAUAACAAAUUGGGGGAAGGAGGAUUUGGACCAGUUUACAAGGUAUCAUGAAGCUAGUUUGGAUACAUUUCUCUAACAGUAAUUAUAGUUAAGAAAAAAGUUAGAAAAAUGUUAAGAAAAAUGUGAAAAUUGUAUAAGCUAGAAGCUAACUUAAAUUGGUUCUCGUUAGCUUAUCUAGCUUUCAAUAUAAUGAUCGUCAGGGUAACUUGGAAAAUGGACAAGAUAUAGCUGUGAAAAGGCUUUGCAAUACUUCAGGACAAGGACCAAAGGAAUUCAUAAAUGAAGUUAAGCUAAUUGCGAAUCUUCAGCACAGAAAUCUUGUGAAACUAAUCGGCUGUUGCAUUCAUGAUGAUGAGAGACUACUGAUAUAUGAAUUCAUGAUCAACAGAAGCUUGGACUACUUCAUUUUUGGUUUGAGAUUUUAUAUUCUAUAUCAUUUGUUUUGAUUUUCUUUACCAUGAUCAAAAAGUUUCCCUCUUCUAACUAAGCCGAAAACUUUCAUAAUCA
Molecule: long non-coding RNA, 11356 nt
Filed under: Medicago truncatula (barrel medic)
Lineage: Eukaryota; Viridiplantae; Streptophyta; Magnoliopsida; Fabales; Fabaceae
Description: long non-coding RNA (MTRU_LNC008752)
Source: RNAcentral